This is a long non-coding RNA of Vicia villosa (hairy vetch), 220 nucleotides long. RefSeq lists it as uncharacterized. Lineage: Eukaryota; Viridiplantae; Streptophyta; Magnoliopsida; Fabales; Fabaceae. The transcript has 3 exons. The record is from RefSeq and is a predicted model, not a curated record.
AGGUUUUGGAUGUUUUGCUUGGACACCAUUGUACACUGUUUAGACGAGCACAAUUGAAAGCCCUUGUUUCAAUCCAUAGCGAAGAGGCUGGUAAAGGAGGUGAACUCACACAUGAUGAGGCGACGAUUAUCAGUGGAGCAUUAGAUCUCACUCUAAAGACUGCAGAGGAGGCUAUGACACCAAUCGAGUCAACUUUUUCCAUGGAUGUUGCGUCAAAAUU